CAUGCCCUGACCCACUGAAGUGGCUCCUGUGACCAACUGCAGAGGCCCCUUACACGCCACCAAUGCAGGCCCACCCCUCACGCUUGUCCUGUCCUGCCCAGGUGGACCCACUCACCCAGCUGCAGAGUUUCCAGGCACCCCACCUAUGUCAGCCCACAAAUUGGCCCAGGACUUGCUGUUAGAUGGGGCUAGUCCCUAGAGCAGGCUGCCUUCCCUGGCUGAGCAGCCAUGUGCUCUAGUGGGUGACAUAGACCCCUGUGCUAACAGGCCAGGGGAAGACCUCCAAUAGCAUCUGCCAGUGUCUGUGUCAGCACUCCUGUACUAAGUCACAAUAAUGGCUGCCACCAAUGUCUUAGUCCAUGGGGAGGUCUCAUCUCUCACCAAGAUUCAUCCAGAGCCUAUCAGAGCCUGAAUCUAGAGAAUCUAAAAUGCCGUGCAUCCUAAGAAGCAUGUAAUGGUCCGGAGGUGGAUGAGUCUUUUCAUGCACAGUUGCUCCAGUACAGCUCCUCCAGGACAAUUCCCCUGUUUCCGAAGACCUGUGAACUCUAAAAGCGAGUUACCUGCUCCUCCCACAUCCCCCCACCACACACGCAAUUCAGGACAGGGAGACUGGCUGAGGGUAACUGCUAUAGACCUUCCCACUCAAAAAGAAAGGGAAGUAAGGCACACAAAAAUCUCAUAAAUGUCGCAAAUUUGAAAUCCAGCCAAGACCAUGCUGCCAGUUUCUUGAUAUGGGUUCAAGCUUAUGGCCUGUGAAUGAUUCUGGACGGCUCUUGGAUCCACCUUUAAGGUUUUUGAUCCUACUGUCUGAAUUCUCAUUUCUUUUCCAUUAGAAAUAGCAGAAUGGCUUUCUCUCCAUAUCUUGCCCAUACUAGUCGAAUGGUCCAAUAGGCUCUUUUUAUUUUGUUCUGCCUCUGUCCCUCUUAGUCCAAGCUGGCAAUGUUUCUGUCAAUGUAUUUUCUUAAAUUUUUUGCAGGUUUUCUAUGAGUAUUAAUAGUAUUCAUUCCACUACAGAAACAUUAAACUGAGACAUAUUAAAAUGCUGAAGAGUUUCUUUGAGCAAACCUCGAUUUGAAUCAACCAAUGGAAGCCCCUACGGAAAGGUUAGGAGGGCCCCACUGACAGGAGCUAGGGGCAAGAUUUUUAUAUAGAAGAUGUGGAAGCAAAGCAAACAAAUUAUUUUAUUGAUUACAGCUUAAGCAGUCACCUUAUUUGAGAAAGCCUAGUUGGCUGGGAUUGGUUGUUCUUAAUUUUCACUUUCUUGGAUUUGAGACAUUGACUCUGGCUUGUGUUUCUGUUCGGCUAUGUAGGCUAGCAAUGCAUUAGAGCCUCCUGAGUCUAAGGCCCUCCUUGUUUAAUUAUAACUUUAACACUAUCUUUGGCUCCCCGUAAGGUUGGAGGAGAAAGUCCUCAGAAUUUUUAGAGGCUCUAUUAUUUAAAGAAGAGGAUCAGUGUUUAGAGGGACUGUUGUCUGUUUGAAGUACCAUAACAAGUAUUUCUGUGGUCAUAACAGAGGGUGGUAUAGUCGAACUCUUACUGUCUUCUUUAGACUAUAUUUUCCUGACAAUGCCUUAAAUUUGAUCUCAGCUCAGAAAAUAUUUUUAACUUUUUAGAAUCUUUUGCUAACUGUAGACUGUGUGGAUGACAAAUGGCUUUAUUGUCAAACCCUGAAAGUUCUGGGCCCCUUAUGCUAAAAAAAAAAAAUUGUUUUCUUUAUCCUUUCUCUCUUCUUUCAUGUUUUACUAUGAGCAACCAGGAAAAGCCAGAUGACACUUUAACACUCUGUCUGGAAUGUUCUUAAGUAGAUCAUCAGGUUCAUUUUUCCUAUUUUUCAUGUUAACAAAGGUGACGGGAUCGUUAAAGUUUCCAUCUUCCAAUAACAUUUUUCUCACCUUCCUUUCAUCUCCCACCAACAUCCUCCUAAAAUGCCACCAAGCUUCCACCAACAGACUCUGAGGCUUUUUAGGCUCUCACUUACACUCUCCUCGAUGUCCUUCCAGUUUCUCCCACCACCUGGGCCUAAGCCAUUCUCACCUGCUCUAAGAGUUUUACUAUACCAGGAGUAGCACCACUGCUGGUACCCAAAUCUGUUCCAGGUUAGAAUGUGCUUCUCUUACACUGUAGAACUGUUACCUGAGUUUGUUUAAAAUAACGGAUUGGAGCUACCAUGUUAGUAUUGCAAGAAAAUGUCUCUGUACUAUGUUGGCCUCUAAAAAAAGGAACAACCAUUUCACAGGUGAAGAGGCUUAACUUACUUUCCUGAAGAUAAAAAUCUCUUCAAAUCACUGGUCCAACAUAAUCUUGAAAAUACUCUCUGCUAGAACCUAGAGGAUUUGCAUAGACAUAAGGUAAUAGCUCAGUCAGCUUGGGCUGCCAUAACACAAUAUGAUCAACCGGGCAACUUAAACAACAGAAAUUUUUUUCCUCACAGUUCUGAAAGCUGGAAGUCUGAGAUCAAGGUGCCAGCAUGGCUGGGUUCUGACAAGAACCAUCUUCCUGGCUUGUGCAUGGCUGCCUUCUCACUGUGUGCUCACAUGGACUCUCCCCCGUGGGUGUCUGGAGAGACAGAGAGAGAGCAAACUCUCCGAUGUCUCUUCUUGCGUGGACACUAAUUGCAUCAGAUCAGAGCUCCACCCAUACAACCUCGCUGAACCUUAAUCACCUCCGUAAAAGCCCUCUCUCUAAUAUAGUCAGAUGAGGGAGAGGUCAGAGCUUCAACAUAGGAAUUUUCUAGGCAGACAAUUCAGUCCAUAGCAAGUAAUCGUCCUACUAUGCGUCACGGAAAGACUGAGAUCACUGAGAAAUCAUCCUGGGUGUCCCUUUGGAGCAGUUCCAUAAUUAGUGACCCCAUUCUAUUACUUCAACAAAUAGUUUCUAUUCCAGGUACUGUUUAGGGGCCAAGUAUAAAUCAUGAACAAAGGAGAACUAACUGUUGCUCUCUUAUAUUUGGUAUGAUACAUACUUAUAAAGAAAAAUUUCCUGAUACGAAAAGAUUGUAGAAUGAGGAAAGUCUUCUCUGAGAAUAUUUAAGUUGAGACUUAGGAUGGAUGGAAAGAUGCUCACAAUGCCUGCUGGACAUCUCAGCAAAUCAGAGGACCAACAAGUUUCUGAGCCAGAGCUUGUGGCUGUGCAGUCUGCAGGAGGGCAACCAGGAGCAGGAGAAGGUGGAGCCGUGCUGGCAGGCAGUCUUCCAACUGCAUGUCGACCUGGAGCUGCCGGCAAGUGUUUGUUUACUGGUGUCUGCUAUGCUCCUGGAGCCCCCUUGCAUGGCAGUCAGGAAUUUUUGGAGGACGCACACACUCAAUCUACAGCAGCUAUCUGUUUGAAACUUCAUCUAACCUAUAUAGGAAAGAAAUACUGAAUUUGAUACAGUUUAGAUUUCCUUAUUUUGGAGAAUGACUUCAUAAUCUUAGAGUAAAUGAUAAACAUCAAACUUUCAGCUGUUGAAGCCAUAUAAUCGUGUGA
This is a non-coding RNA of Equus caballus (horse), 3465 nucleotides long. The record is from RefSeq and is a predicted model, not a curated record. NCBI's taxonomy places the organism in Eukaryota, Metazoa, Chordata, Mammalia, Perissodactyla, Equidae.